Molecule: long non-coding RNA, 283 nt
Filed under: Phoenix dactylifera (date palm)
Lineage: Eukaryota; Viridiplantae; Streptophyta; Magnoliopsida; Arecales; Arecaceae
Description: long non-coding RNA (PDAC_LNC021682)
Source: RNAcentral
UCGGAUCUGGAGAGAGGGAGAGGGAGAGACGAACGAAGGCGACUCAGAAGAAAGAAAUAAAAAAGAGAAGACGCACCUCGUCGGCCGGUGCCUUCUUCUGAGACGAACGAAGGGCGGCGGAGGGAGCUCGGAUCUGGAGAGCUCGCGGUCGUUAACAGCCCUAACGACCGGUGCCUUCUUCUUCUGAGACGAACGAAGGACGGCGGAGGGAGCUCGGAUCUGGAGAGCUCGCGAAAGCGACGAUCGCCGGUGGAGGAGUCGGCAAAGAGGGGAAAAGAGAGAG